GGAGUUGGUAGCUCAGUGGUAGAGUGCAUGCUUAUUGGGUAUGAUCUCCUGGGUGCAAUCCCCAGCUUCUCCC
This is a non-coding RNA of Dallia pectoralis (Alaska blackfish), 73 nucleotides long. The record is from the annotation of a GenBank genome assembly. Lineage: Eukaryota; Metazoa; Chordata; Actinopteri; Esociformes; Umbridae.